UAGGGAAUCUUCCGCAAUGGACGAAAGUCUGACGGAGCAACGCCGCGUGAGUGAAGAAGGAUUUCGGUUCGUAAAACUCUGUUGUUAGGGAAGAAAAAAUGUAUAGUAACUAUAUACAAAAGAGACGGUACCUAACCAGAAAGCCACGGCUAACUACGUGCCAGCAGUCGCGGUAAUACGUAGGUGGCAAGCGUUGUCCGGAAUUAUUGGGCGUAAAGCGCGCGCAGGUGGUUUAGAAAGACUGAUGUGAAAGCCCACGGAUCAACCGUGGAGGGUCGUUGGACACUAAUAAACUUGAGUGCAGGGGAGAAAAGUGGAAUUCCUAGUGUAGCGGUGAAAUGCGUGGAGAUUAGGAGGAUCACCGGUGGCGAUAGCGGCUUUUUGGACUGUAACAGACACUGAAACGCGCAAGCGUGGGGAGCAAGCAGG
This 429-nucleotide ribosomal RNA is filed under the name Verrucomicrobiota bacterium. RNAcentral's name for it is "Verrucomicrobia bacterium partial 16S ribosomal RNA". It matches the Rfam family "Bacterial small subunit ribosomal RNA", at positions 355 to 776 of the family's 1533-position model. Lineage: Bacteria; Pseudomonadati; Verrucomicrobiota. The record is from RNAcentral.